This 2481-nucleotide long non-coding RNA is filed under the name Medicago truncatula (barrel medic). RNAcentral describes it as "lncRNA gene33708". The record is from RNAcentral. Lineage: Eukaryota; Viridiplantae; Streptophyta; Magnoliopsida; Fabales; Fabaceae.
AUGCCAUUCACUUGAUAAAGGUAAUAGAAAAUUGUGAGAUUCAUAAUAUAGUUGAAAGGCUAAGAUUCACAAUAUAUUAAAGAACAAUUCAUCAAAACCAUAAAAUAUUAAUGCCAAGAAAACUAAAGUACGCAAAAGAACAGUAUCCUUUUGUCUACAUGAAUCCAAAUUUUUUAAAAACAAGGAAAGGAAAUUGGAUUUGUGACAUAACACUGAUUCAAAACUACAAAAGCUCUUGAAAUUUGCUUUUAGGUACGGACAGGAGCUCCUCCAGCUACAGCAGGGCGGGGCGCUUGACCAGGCUGACCCGGCCUUGGGGCAUCAUCCUUUAAAAAAGAAAUAAACAAACUUGUUAAACCAACUAAAAUAAACAGCAAAAUAUAUAAUUAUAAAGAAACAGACUGAUAAGCAAUUUCACAGCCACCGAAUCCAGACUUUCAUUGAGAUACAGAGAUAUGGAUGGGUGUGAUCAAGGGGGAGGGACUAAAUCAGAUAUUGUUUGGUUGAGAGAUGAGGAGAAAUAAGCCUAUCUUUAUUUGGUUCCCAAAAAGGAUAUGGGAAAUUAAUCAAGGAGAAGAAUAGCCUUUACAUUUUGGUUUGCAAUGAGGCUAGAAUUUAUUUAAUAAAGGAAAAAAGGCUAAUUUACUUUUCCUUGUAAACCGUGGCUCUCCUACAAAACCCCCAAUGUAGGAGGGGAGCAGGAAUUGAGUAGGGAAGGAUUUUGCUCCCCCCACUCCAACCAAAGUACCAAACACACUAUGUAAAGCAAACUAAAGUGAACUGACCACUGAUAUACACUCAGGCAACAAUAUCAAUCUAUAACAGAAAGUAAGGUUGAUAAAAAAUCAACUUUUUAUUAGAUAGAUUUUUAGGAACAAGUUUAGGAUUUAAUAGAUGGAGUAUUAGGAAGUCAUCCUAUUCAAAUAACAUGUUUUCACAUUCUAGAUGACAGACUACAUUGAAAAGGCAGGAAAGAGACUUACAUCUACAAUAAUCUACAAAACAAUGUGCAACUAACACGGUGAUGUCAAAUGUGGAUCACGGAAAAUAGUGUUUUCUUUCUAAUUCUGGUAUGAUAUAGUGCUAUAGAACCACGAUAACAGCAAUCUGACAAUAUUUUAUGUACUAAAUAGCGGAUGCAAACCAGUUCAAUUUGUUCAAAUUCUGCAAUGCUAUAGCACACAGCUCUUGCCACUAUAUGACAAAUCUAAUUCUAAACAACACAGCAGUGCAAAGGUGAAAGGUAUAUAAGCGAAACCAAAGUUUCAAGUGUCGGAAGUAUUAUUAAGCACACAUUUUUAUGGCUGAGAAAUAAGAAUGAAACAUGCACAAGCACAAGCUGUGUUUUAUUAUACCAGAGUCUAAUCUAAGUUAUUCACAUAAUCACAAAUAAAAGUCUCCAUGCACAAUUUCAUAGGCAAUUACAUAACAGGCCUAGUUAGUAACAAAACAUAAAAAUUGAAAGAGGUGAAAAGAUAGUUAAUUACCCUGCGCCUAAUGAAACGCUGUGGAGGGUCACGCUUCCUCCUAUCAGUGCGAGAUCUAACCCUCACAACAUGAGAAUGGAUAGCACAUGAAACACAGUACUGCAUCUUCACAUACAGCUUAGGAAGAGUGUACUCUACAAAUCACAUCCCAACAAAAAACAAAACAUAAUCAAUUAAAGAAUUAACAUGCAAAUAAAUCACAAUAAGCACUAUAGGAUUUGAAAUCUAUAUAAGGCCUGUUUGAAUUGGCUUAUUUUUGAGCUUAUGAAAAAUAGCUUAUGCAAAUAAAUAAGCUUUUAUUUUAAAUUCAUGAACUUACAAAAAAUUUAUCUUCAUAUAUCUUUUUUUUUUUUUUUUCAUAAACUACUUAACAAACUUAUGAAUAGUACGUAAAAGCUUAUUUAUUCACAUAAGCUGUUUUGCAUAAUCCAAAAAUAAGUCAAUCCAAAUGGGCACAAAGAAACACAAACGCAUAUUUACAUUUAUUUAGGAAAUUACACAUGAAUGAAUCAAAAUUAAAAGAAACCAAAUCAAUUAAAACUUAGAUAUAAAUUAAAAAACACCAAAUCAAUUAAACAAUUUAGUUAAAAUUUAAAAAGAAUCUUACGGUCAUAGACACAAGCUUCUUGUACAUCUCUAACUGCAGCUUGUUCAACAAUGUUCCUAACAAGAAACCUCUUGAUAGCCUUGUCCUAUUCACAAACAAAAACAAAACAUGUUCAAUUUUUGAUUCAAUGAUUCAAAAUCAAACAUGAAUAUAAUAAAAUAACAAAGUAACAUACCUUGGGACAGCAUUUACCACAGUUGGAGCAACGAAUGAAUUUGACAUGGCCACGACCAUGUUUGUUACGGCCUCCAUUUCUGCGCUUAAAUGUCUAUAAUUGAAAACAAAAAUUAAGAUCGGAGAAAUGAAUAGAUCAGAGGAAAUAGAAAGAUUAACAAAUAAAAUUAACUAACCAUUGUUGUUGAAGCUCUCCAAGGUUUUGCUGUCUUC